This 492-nucleotide ribosomal RNA is filed under the name uncultured bacterium. RNAcentral's name for it is "partial 16S ribosomal RNA". It matches the Rfam family "Bacterial small subunit ribosomal RNA", at positions 29 to 507 of the family's 1533-position model. The record is from RNAcentral.
AGUGAACGCUGGCGGUAGGCCUAACACAUGCAAGUCGAACGGCAGCACAGUAAGAGCUUGCUCUUACGGGUGGCGAGUGGCGGACGGGUGAGGAAUACAUCGGAAUCUACUUUUUCGUGGGGGAUAACGUAGGGAAACUUACGCUAAUACCGCAUACGACCUACGGGGGAAAGCAGGGGAUCUUCGGACCUUGCGCGAUUGAAUGAGACGAUGUCGGAUUAGCUAGUUGGCGGGGUAAAGGCCCACCAAGGCGACGCUCCGUAGCUGGUCUGAGAGGAUGAUCCGCCACACUGGAACUGAGACACGGUCCAGACUCCUACGGGAGGCAGCAGUGGGGAAUAUUGGACAAUGGGCGCAAGCCUGAUCCAGCCAUACCGCGUGGGUGAAGAAGGCCUUCGGGUUGUAAAGCCCUUUUGUUGGGAAAGAAAAGCAGCAGGUUAAUACCCCGCUGUUCUGACGGUACCCAAAGAAUAAGCACCGGCUAACUUCGUG